This 759-nucleotide ribosomal RNA is filed under the name uncultured bacterium. Its description in RNAcentral is "bacterial SSU rRNA". It matches the Rfam family "Bacterial small subunit ribosomal RNA", at positions 28 to 776 of the family's 1533-position model. The record is from RNAcentral.
GAUGAACGCUAGCUACCGUCUUAACACAUGCAAGUCGAGGGGCAGCAUGGUCUUAGCUCGCUAAGGCCGAUGGCGACCGGCGCACGGGUGAGUAACACGUAUCCAACCUGCCGUCUACUCUUGGACAGCCUUCUGAAAGGAAGAUUAAUACAAGAUGGCAUCAUGAGUCCGCAUGUUCACAUGAUUAAAGGUAUUCCGGUAGACGAUGGGGAUGCGUUCCAUUAGAUAGUAGGCGGGGUAACGGCCCACCUAGUCUUCGAUGGAUAGGGGUUCUGAGAGGAAGGUCCCCCACAUUGGAACUGAGACACGGUCCAAACUCCUACGGGAGGCAGCAGUGAGGAAUAUUGGUCAAUGGGCGAGAGCCUGAACCAGCCAAGUAGCGUGAAGGAUGACUGCCCUAUGGGUUGUAAACUUCUUUUAUAAAGGAAUAAAGUCGGGUAUGCAUACCCGUUUGCAUGUACUUUAUGAAUAAGGAUCGGCUAACUCCGUGCCAGCAGCCGCGGUAAUACGGAGGAUCCGAGCGUUAUCCGGAUUUAUUGGGUUUAAAGGGAGCGUAGAUGGAUGUUUAGGUCAGUUGUGAAAGUUUGCGGCUCAACCGUAAAAUUGCAGUUGAUACUGGAUAUCUUGAGUGCAGUUGAGGCAGGCGGAAUUCGUGGUGUAGCGGUGAAAUGCUUAGAUAUCACGAAGAACUCCGAUUGCGAAGGCAGCCUGCUAAGCUGCAACUGACAUUGAGGCUCGAAAGUGUGGGUAUCANACAGG